This 473-nucleotide ribosomal RNA is filed under the name uncultured bacterium. RNAcentral describes it as "bacterial SSU rRNA". It matches the Rfam family "Bacterial small subunit ribosomal RNA", at positions 28 to 507 of the family's 1533-position model. The record is from RNAcentral.
GAUGAACGCUGGCGGCGUGCCUAACACAUGCAAGUCGAACGGAACUUUUAUGGAUUGAGACUUCGGUUGAUUGAAGUUAAGUUUAGUGGCGGACGGGUGAGUAACGCGUGAGUAACCUGCCUUUCACAGGGGGAUAACGUUUGGAAACGACUGAUAAUACCGAAUGUGCUCUACGGAGUAAAGAAGCCCUUAAAGCUUCGCUUAGAGAUGGGCCUGCGGCGCAUUAGCUAGUUGGUGAGGUAACGGCCCACCAAGGCGACGAUGCGUAGCCGAACUGAGAGGUUGAACGGCCACAUUGGAACUGAGAAACGGUCCAGACUCCUACGGGAGGCAGCAGUGGGGAAUAUUGGGCAAUGGGCGAAAGCCUGACCCAGCGACGCCGCGUGAGGGAAGACGGUCUUCGGAUUGUAAACCUUUGUUUUUGGUGACGAAUAAUGACGGUAGCCAAAGAGGAAGCCACGGCUAACUACGUG